AAACUUCUUAAUUUUACAACCCAUUAAAUCUGCCAGGGAUCCAAUUUCAUUAUCAGCAUUAACAGAAAGAUUGAACUUUUGGACAUAUUGAUGUUCAGGCCUUUGACAACUUCAAAAGCCAGCAACACAACUCUUGAAUGCAAUAUUUGUUCUUUAUCAGCUCUGCACAACAGUUGGGUGUCAUCCGCAUACAAAGUAUGUGAUACAUCCGGUUUCCUGCUUGUCCAUCCCUUUUCAGU
Molecule: long non-coding RNA, 239 nt
Filed under: Nicotiana benthamiana
Lineage: Eukaryota; Viridiplantae; Streptophyta; Magnoliopsida; Solanales; Solanaceae
Description: long non-coding RNA (NBEN_LNC001065)
Source: RNAcentral